AUGGAAUGGAGCAGAGCUUGGGGCAGUCGACGCAGACAACAGAAGCGACGGGACUUCGGCACGGCAGGGAGCUCGGCGGACGGGGUUGAGCUGGAGGAGCUCGGUGCAUCAGGUGCGGGACGCGCGGACAACGACGAGGAUGCAGGGGAGGCCCGGGCAGCGCGCGGGGCUGCUGCUGCUGGCCGACGGCCACCGGUGCGAGGAUGGGUGCCCUCGGCGCUUGGGCAGAGGAGAGGUUGGAUCGAUGGAUUUGGAAGUCUCGGUGGUGGCUGGUUGGGAGGAGAUCCCGAGGUGGGAGAUGAGUGCGGCGGUGGCAGGGACAAAUCCCCUAGAAUUUAG
RNAcentral lists this ribosomal RNA (339 nucleotides) under Triticum aestivum (bread wheat). RNAcentral describes it as "partial small subunit ribosomal RNA". The record is from RNAcentral. Lineage: Eukaryota; Viridiplantae; Streptophyta; Magnoliopsida; Poales; Poaceae.